CAGUCGAGGGGCAGCGGGGUUGUAGCAAUACAACUGCCGGCGACCGGCGCACGGGUGAGUAACACGUAUGUAACCUGCCCUCUGCAGGGGGAUAAGCGGAAGAAAUUCCGUCUAAUACCGCAUAAUACAAUUUGGAGACAUCUCCGGGUUGUCAAGGGAGUGAUCCGGCAGAGGAUGGACAUGCGGCGCAUUAGCUAGUCGGCGGGGUAACGGCCCACCGAGGCUACGAUGCGUAGGGGUUCUGAGAGGAAGGUCCCCCACACUGGUACUGAGACACGGACCAGACUCCUACGGGAGGCAGCAGUGAGGAAUAUUGGUCAAUGGGCGGAAGCCUGAACCAGCCAAGUCGCGUGAGGGAAGACGGUCCUAUGGAUUGUAAACCUCUUUUGCAGGGGAGCAAGGCGCGGUACGUGUACCGCGAAGGAGAGUACCCUGAGAAAAAGCAUCGGCUAACUCCGUGCCAGCAGCCGCGGUAAUACGGAGGAUGCGAGCGUUAUCCGGAUUUAUUGGGUUUAAAGGGUGCGCAGGCGGACUGUUAAGUCAGCGGUAAAAUGUCGGUGCUCAACACCGGCCGGCCGUUGAAACUGGCAGCCUUGAGUGAGCGAGAAGUAUGCGGAAUGCGUGGUGUAGCGGUGAAAUGCGUAGAUAUCACACAGAACACCGAUUGCGAAGGCAUCUGACGAAUCGGAGAUUGACGCUGAUGCACGAAAGCGUGGGUAUCGAACAGGAUUAGAUACCCUGGUAGUCCACGCUGUAAACGAUGAUGACUAGCCGUCGGCGAUACAGUGUCGGUGGUCAAGCGAAAGCGAUAAGUCAUCCACCUGGGGAUAC
This 831-nucleotide ribosomal RNA is filed under the name uncultured bacterium. RNAcentral describes it as "bacterial SSU rRNA". It matches the Rfam family "Bacterial small subunit ribosomal RNA", at positions 59 to 883 of the family's 1533-position model. The record is from RNAcentral.